GACGAACGCUGGCGGCGUGCUUAACACAUGCAAGUCGAACGGAAAGGCCCUGCUUGCAGGGUACUCGAGUGGCGAACGGGUGAGUAACACGUGGGUGAUCUGCCCUGCACUUCGGGAUAAGCCUGGGAAACUGGGUCUAAUACCGGAUAGGAGCCAUUUUUAGUGUGAUGGUUGGAAAGUUUUUUCGGUGUAGGAUGAGCUCGCGGCCUAUCAGCUUGUUGGUGGGGUAAUGGCCUACCAAGGCGGCGACGGGUAGCCGGCCUGAGAGGGUGGACGGCCACAGUGGGACUGAGAUACGGCCCAGACUCCUACGGGAGGCAGCAGUGGGGAAUAUUGCACAAUGGGCGCAAGCCUGAUGCAGCGACGCCGCGUGGGGGAUGACGGCCUUCGGGUUGUAAACGCCUUUCGCUAGGGACGAAGCUUUUUGUGACGGUACCUAGAGAAGAAGCACCGGCUAACUACGUG
This 465-nucleotide ribosomal RNA is filed under the name uncultured bacterium. Its description in RNAcentral is "partial 16S ribosomal RNA". It matches the Rfam family "Bacterial small subunit ribosomal RNA", at positions 28 to 507 of the family's 1533-position model. The record is from RNAcentral.